GAUGAACGCUGGCGGCGUGCCUAACACAUGCAAGUCGAGGGGAAACGACAUCGAAAGCUUGCUUUUGGUGGGCGUCGACCGGCGCACGGGUGAGUAACGCGUAUCCAACCUGCCCACCACUUGGGGAUAACCUUGCGAAAGUAAGACUAAUACCCAAUGAUAUCCCACGAAGGCAUCCGAAUGGGAUUAAAGAUUUAUCGGUGAUGGAUGGGGAUGCGUCUGAUUAGCUUGUUGGCGGGGUAACGGCCCACCAAGGCAACGAUCAGUAGGGGUUCUGAGAGGAAGGUCCCCCACAUUGGAACUGAGACACGGUCCAAACUCCUACGGGAGGCAGCAGUGAGGAAUAUUGGUCAAUGGGCGAGAGCCUGAACCAGCCAAGUAGCGUGCAGGAUGACGGCCCUAUGGGUUGUAAACUGCUUUUAUAAGGGAAUAAAGUGAGUCUCGUGAGACUUUUGCAUGUACCUUAUGAAUAAGGACCGGCUAAUUCCGUG
This 491-nucleotide ribosomal RNA is filed under the name uncultured bacterium. RNAcentral's name for it is "bacterial SSU rRNA". It matches the Rfam family "Bacterial small subunit ribosomal RNA", at positions 28 to 507 of the family's 1533-position model. The record is from RNAcentral.